Molecule: ribosomal RNA, 490 nt
Filed under: uncultured bacterium
Lineage: Bacteria
Description: partial 16S ribosomal RNA
Rfam family: Bacterial small subunit ribosomal RNA
Source: RNAcentral
GAUGAACGCUAGCGGCAGGCUUAACACAUGCAAGUCGAGCGGAAACGCCAUCGAAAGUUUGCUUUUGAUGGGCGUCGAGCGGCGCACGGGUGAGUAACGCGUAACCCUCCUGCCUAUUACUUGGGAACAACCUUGCGAUAGCAAUACUACUACCUAAUGCCAUCCCAUGAAGACAUCUGAAUGGGAUAAAUGAUUUAUCGGUGAUGGAUGGGGUCGCGUCUGAUUAGCUUGUUGGUGGGGUAACGGCCCAGCAAGGCAACGAUCAGUAGGAGUUCUGAGAGGAAGGUCCCGCACAUUAGAACUGAGACACGGUCCAAAGGCCGGCGGGAGUCAGCAGUGAGGAAUAUUGGUCGAUGGGCGAGAGCCGGAACCAGCCAAGUGGCGUGAAGGAUGACGGCCCGAUGGGUUGUAAUCUGCUUAUAGAAGGGAAUAAGGUGGGUCUCGUGAGGCUUUUAGGGUAUACCUUAUAAAUGAGGACGGUCUAAUUGCG